UACGGAGGAUGCAAGCGUUAUCCGGAUUUAUUGGGUUUAAAGGGUGCGUAGGUGGAAUGAUAAGUCAGAGGUGAAAGCUAGCAGCUUAACUGUUAAAUUGCCUUUGAUACUGUUAUUCUUGAGUGUAGUUGGCGUUGGCGGAAUGUGACAUGUAGCGGUGAAAUGCGUAGAUAUGUCACAGAACACCGAUCGCGAAGGCAGCUAACGAAGCUAUCACUGACACUGAUGCACGAAAGCGUGGGGAGCAAACAGG
RNAcentral lists this ribosomal RNA (253 nucleotides) under uncultured bacterium. RNAcentral describes it as "partial 16S ribosomal RNA". It matches the Rfam family "Bacterial small subunit ribosomal RNA", at positions 524 to 776 of the family's 1533-position model. The record is from RNAcentral.